RNAcentral lists this ribosomal RNA (561 nucleotides) under uncultured Bacteroidales bacterium. RNAcentral describes it as "bacterial SSU rRNA". It matches the Rfam family "Bacterial small subunit ribosomal RNA", at positions 173 to 734 of the family's 1533-position model. Lineage: Bacteria; Pseudomonadati; Bacteroidota; Bacteroidia; Bacteroidales. The record is from RNAcentral.
AUGGUAUAAUUAGACCGCAUGGUCUUGUUAUUAAAGAAUUUCGGUUAUCGAUGGGGAUGCGUUCCAUUAGGCAGUUGGUGAGGUAACGGCUCACCGAACCUUCGAUGGAUAGGGGUUCUGAGAGGAAGGUCCCCCACAUUGGAACUGAGACACGGUCCAAACUCCUACGGGAGGCAGCAGUGAGGAAUAUUGGUCAAUGGACGGGAGUCUGAACCAGCCAAGUAGCGUGAAGGAUGACUGCCCUAUGGGUUGUAAACUUCUUUUAUAUGGGAAUAAAGUUUUCCACGUGUGGAAUUUUGUAUGUACCAUAUGAAUAAGGAUCGGCUAACUCCGUGCCAGCAGCCGCGGUAAUACGGAGGAUCCGAGCGUUAUCCGGAUUUAUUGGGUUUAAAGGGAGCGUAGGUGGACAGUUAAGUCAGUUGUGAAGUUUGCGGCUCAACCGUAAAAUUGCAGUUGAUACUGGCUGUCUUGAGUACAGUAGAGGUGGGCGGAAUUCGUGGUGUAGCGGUGAAAUGCUUAGAUAUCACGAAGAACUCCGAUUGCGAAGGCAGCUCACUGGAC